UGUCGCUAUUCCGCGCGAGUGAACGCACGUGAUACGAUUCGCGUUACGUGAGUGACAGACACGUGAGAAACUGCGAUUGACGAUCCAGGCGAUAAUUAUUCGCUCAAUUAGAGCCCUGCGUGUGGUAGGAUUACCGGUCCAGAUCAGGUGCGUGUCACUCCAAUACGAGGCUGAAAAGAUGCCUUACAAGUGUCGCAUUUUUGUCAAGCUAUUUGUUUCCCGGUUAUUUCCAAGGCGAAUAACAAGAUGGUAUUAAGACCCAAGGCGGAUAAUUGGAGAUGCUCCGGAUGCUCGGUAGUAAAAAACGCUCCUUUAUGGACGGCAGGAACUCCGGUAGUCAACUAUCCGCGGUUCGACCGGAUAAGAUAACCUCUUCCUCGAUAGCACGUCUACUGCGUACGUCGCUUCCGGCACGCCGGAACGUACGCGACUGAUUUUCAAAAGGCGUUUCCUCGUCCAGCUCGACUUACAAGCAGCUCUCAAACCUAUCGUUACUUGUCCAACCACGCCUUACCGUUACACCUAAUUCAUCGCGGUUACCUACCUACCUGGAGCUCCUGGAAGUGAUGAUACGUGUUACGGUAGCACGAGGCUCACCGUUACAUCACGCAAGGGUGGAAGGUGUGCGGAUUGUCUUGUUACAACUGCGGCGGAGACAGGAAACCGUAGUUUGUUCUACUCAGGCAAAUCCCCGUUGAAGUGAGUCCCGGUCUACCGGUGCCUCACCAUUGGAACUAAACCUUAAAAAUGUGGAAAGGAAACUUGAGGCUAAUCUCCGGCGGUCAUUCAGCAUUUUACGAAGGCAAAUCAUUUCCGCACAUUACAAUCCCUUUUGGCUCGUCGCCGACGACCCCUGCCAUGAUAGCAGUGAUUCGGAUUUGCCUUCACCAUUAGACUCUCUGUUCCAUGAUUGACGCGGACACCACGAGCACCUGCUCAAAGCGACCCAGCAUCCUGUCAGUCCCACGUGAUGAUCACUCGAGAAUCUGUCGAUCGCAGGGAGGGAGGACGGGUUGAUGAACGGGGUCCAUUAUGCGCGAGGCGAUUGUACUAUGAAGAAGCUAUUUGUACCUGAUUAAAUUGGCUGAAUCCUGCAUCCGAGAAUUCAUGUAUUCAAGAUUCGUGAGAAGCAUGUAGCGCCUCGAUGCUAAUCCGCCUAAUUAACUUCUCCUACGAGAUUAGAGAUUCGAGGGUAGGUAGGUGCUGCGGCAAGAUGGCGAGGUAAAUUGGGAGGCGGGGUGGACCUCAUUUGCAUGGAAGCGAGAACGCGUUCUCGCAGUGCUUGAACUUGCACCGUAUAGAAAUUACUCUCGAGGCAUUUCGAUGUAAGUAAGGAUGCUCUGAAAGGAGGAUUGAGAGUGGAGAGAAAUUUACUCUUACGUAACGCUAUUAGGUCUGAAUCGUUAAACCAAUAAUCGUUAGAGCUUUGGUUUCGCUCUCAUCUCCCAAUGGACCACUCGACACCCUCGUGCAAUAAAUACAACGCCAACUCGUCUCUCCUCCGAUUCUCUCACUCCCGCACCUUGCAUAUAUCUAUAUUCUUUCUCUAACUCUCUCCCCGAGUUUCCCCGAUGUUUUUCAGCCCCUAAAUUUCCCCCUCGCGAAUCAGACACUUAAUUUGUAAAACAAAAUAAGGAAAUAAAAUAAAAAUAAUAAAAAUUUA
Molecule: long non-coding RNA, 1663 nt
Filed under: Neodiprion pinetum (white pine sawfly)
Lineage: Eukaryota; Metazoa; Arthropoda; Insecta; Hymenoptera; Diprionidae
Description: uncharacterized LOC124218855
Source: RNAcentral